This 564-nucleotide ribosomal RNA is filed under the name uncultured bacterium. RNAcentral describes it as "partial 16S ribosomal RNA". It matches the Rfam family "Bacterial small subunit ribosomal RNA", at positions 355 to 912 of the family's 1533-position model. The record is from RNAcentral.
UGGGGAAUUUUGGACAAUGGGGGAAACCCUGAUCCAGCCAUCCCGCGUAUGCGAUGAAGGCCUUCGGGUUGUAAAGCACUUUUGGCAGGAAAGAAACGUCGCGGGUUAAUACCCCGCGAAACUGACGGUACCUGCAGAAUAAGCACCGGCUAACUACGUGCCAGCAGCCGCGGUAAUACGUAGGGUGCAAGCGUUAAUCGGAAUUACUGGGCGUAAAGCGUGCGCAGGCGGUUCGGAAAGAAAGAUGUGAAAUCCCAGAGCUUAACUUUGGAACUGCAUUUUUAACUACCGGGCUAGAGUGUGUCAGAGGGAGGUGGAAUUCCGCGUGUAGCAGUGAAAUGCGUAGAUAUGCGGAGGAACACCGAUGGCGAAGGCAGCCUCCUGGGAUAACACUGACGCUCAUGCACGAAAGCGUGGGGAGCAAACAGGAUUAGAUACCCUGGUAGUCCACGCCCUAAACGAUGUCAACUAGCUGUUGGGGCCUUCGGGCCUUGGUAGCGCAGCUAACGCGUGAAGUUGACCGCCUGGGGAGUACGGUCGCAAGAUUAAAACUCAAAUGAAUUG